RNAcentral lists this ribosomal RNA (460 nucleotides) under uncultured bacterium. RNAcentral describes it as "partial 16S ribosomal RNA". It matches the Rfam family "Bacterial small subunit ribosomal RNA", at positions 338 to 795 of the family's 1533-position model. The record is from RNAcentral.
CCUACGGGUGGCAGCAGUGAGGAAUAUUGGUCAAUGGACGCAAGUCUGAACCAGCCAUGCCGCGUGCAGGAAGACGGCUCUAUGAGUUGUAAACUGCUUUUGUACGAGGGUAAACGCAGAUACGCGUAUCUGUCUGAAAGUAUCGUACGAAUAAGGAUCGGCUAACUCCGUGCCAGCAGCCGCGGUAAUACGGAGGAUUCAAGCGUUAUCCGGAUUUAUUGGGUUUAAAGGGUGCGUAGGCGGUCGGAUAAGUUAGAGGUGAAAUCCCGAGGCUCAACUUCGGAAUUGCUUCUGAUACUGUUCGGCUUGAGAGUAGGGGCGGUAGGCGGAAGGUAUGGUGUAGCGGUGAAAUGCUUAGAGAUCAUAAAGAACACCGAUUGCGAAGGCAGCUUACCAAGCUACUUCUGACGUUGAGGCACGAAAGCGGGGGGAGCAAACAGGAUUAGAUACCCGGGUAGUC